RNAcentral lists this non-coding RNA (21 nucleotides) under Caenorhabditis elegans. Lineage: Eukaryota; Metazoa; Nematoda; Chromadorea; Rhabditida; Rhabditidae. The record is from RNAcentral.
UACAUUCGAUUGUGGAGAUAC